AUGGGCUGGAGCCGCUGGACUCCAUCUCCUUGCGCACUCGAUACUGUCUCGGGAGGCGCUUGCUGGAUUUGCCAUCGCCGUGAGGUGUUCGCGAGCGCUCCGCCGAGGAAGAAGACCGGUCGUGGCGCUUGCCGGACUUGUUAUCGCCGUGAGAUCUCUGGCGGCGCUCCGGCGAGGAAGAAGACCGGUCGUACCUGCUCGAAUUGCUAUCUUGGGGAGGAGUUCGGGAGCGCUCCGGCGAGGAGGAAGAAGACCGGUCGUAACGCCUGCUGGACCUGCUAUUGCCGUGACAUCUCCGGGAGCGCUUCUGCGAAGGGGAGGCCCGGUCGUCCUGUCUUCUUGACUUGCGACCGCGGUGAGGCAUACGGGCGCGCUCCGGCGAAGCGGAAGCCCGCGCGCGGCGCUUCCUGUCGUCGCGGUGGUCUCGAUCACGCGCGCGGCGCUUCCUGUCGUCGCGGUGGUCUCCAUCAGCGGCCCCUUUCUCUGCCGCCAUGA
Molecule: ribosomal RNA, 495 nt
Filed under: Triticum aestivum (bread wheat)
Lineage: Eukaryota; Viridiplantae; Streptophyta; Magnoliopsida; Poales; Poaceae
Description: partial small subunit ribosomal RNA
Source: RNAcentral